RNAcentral lists this ribosomal RNA (473 nucleotides) under uncultured bacterium. RNAcentral's name for it is "bacterial SSU rRNA". It matches the Rfam family "Bacterial small subunit ribosomal RNA", at positions 335 to 803 of the family's 1533-position model. The record is from RNAcentral.
ACUCCUACGGGAGGCAGCAGUGGGGAAUAUUGCACAAUGGGCGCAAGCCUGAUGCAGCCAUGCCGCGUGUAUGAAGAAGGCCUUCGGGUUGUAAAGUACUUUCAGCAGUGAGGAAGGUGGGUAUGUUAAUAGCAUAUUCAUUUGACGUUAGCUGCAGAAGAAGCACCGGCUAACUCCGUGCCAGCAGCCGCGGUAAUACGGAGGGGGCUAGCGUUGUUCGGAAUUACUGGGCGUAAAGCGUGCGUAGGCGGAUUGGAAAGUUAGAGGUGAAAUCCCGGGGCUCAACCCGGAACUGCCUUUAAAACUUCCAGUCUAGAGUUCUGGAGAGGUAAGUGGAAUUCCUAGUGUAGAGGUGAAAUUCGUAGAUAUUAGGAGGAACACCAGAGGCGAAGGCGGCUUACUGGACAGAUACUGACGCUGAGGCACGAAAGUGUGGGGAGCAAACAGGAUUAGAUACCCUGGUAGGAUAGCGU